RNAcentral lists this ribosomal RNA (273 nucleotides) under uncultured bacterium. RNAcentral describes it as "partial 16S ribosomal RNA". It matches the Rfam family "Bacterial small subunit ribosomal RNA", at positions 524 to 796 of the family's 1533-position model. The record is from RNAcentral.
UACGUAGGUGGCAAGCGUUGUCCGGAUUUAUUGGGUUUAAAGGGUGCGUAGGCGGUUGUAUAAGUCAGUGCUGAAAUAUCCCGGCUUAACCGGGAGGGUGGCAUUGAUACUGUAUGACUUGAGUAAAGUUGAGGUUGGCGGAAUUGACGGUGUAGCGGUGAAAUGCUUAGAUAUCGUCAAGAACACCGAUAGCGAAGGCAGCUAACUAAGCUUUAACUGACGCUGAGGCACGAAAGUGUGGGGAUCAAACAGGAUUAGAAACCCCUGUAGUCC